Molecule: non-coding RNA, 101 nt
Organism: Ceratobasidium sp. 423
Lineage: Eukaryota; Fungi; Basidiomycota; Agaricomycetes; Cantharellales; Ceratobasidiaceae
Source: the annotation of a GenBank genome assembly
GCGUAAUUAGUAUAAUGGUUAUUAUCUCGGUUUCCCAUCAUAUGGCCUUAUCCUUGCAAGGAAUCUUACCGAGGAUCGGAGUUCGAUUCUCCGGUUACGCA